Molecule: ribosomal RNA, 1227 nt
Filed under: uncultured eukaryote
Lineage: Eukaryota
Description: SSU rRNA
Rfam family: Eukaryotic small subunit ribosomal RNA
Source: RNAcentral
CGGUAAUUCCAGCUCCAAUAGCGUAUACUAAAGUUGUUGCAGUUAAAGAGCUCGUAGUUGGAUUUCGGCUUGAGCCGAUUGGUCCUUCCUCUGGACAGCGUACUGAUCGGUUUUAGCUUCUUCGCGAAGGCCGCGUGUGCUCUUAACUGGGUGGGCGUGGGAUUCGCGACGUUUACUUUGAAAAAAUUAGAGUGUUCAAAGCAGGCAUACGCUUGAAUAUCUCAGCAUGGAAUAAUAGAAUAGGACUUUGGUCUUAUUUUGUUGGUUUCCGAGGCCGAAGUAAUGAUUAAUAGGGACAGUUGGGGGCAUUCGUAUUUCAUUGUCAGAGGUGAAAUUCUUGGAUUCAUGAAAGACGAACUUCUGCGAAAGCAUUUGCCAAGGAUGUUUUCAUUAAUCAAGAACGAAAGUUGGAGGCUCGAAGACGAUCAGAUACCGUCCUAGUUCCAACCAUAAACGAUGCCGUCUGCGGAUCGGAGGUCGCUACAUAAGGCUCCUUCGGCACGCUAUGAGAAAUCAAAGACUUCGGGUUCCGGGGGGAGUGUGUUCGCAAGAAUGAAACUUAAAGGAAUUGACGGAAGGGCACCACCAGGAGUGGAACCUGCGGUUUAAUUUGACUCAACACGGGAAAACUCACCAGGUCCAGACAUAGGAAGGAUUGACAGAUUGAGAGCUCUUCCUUGAUUCUAUGGGUGGUGGUGCAUGGCCGUUCUUAGUUGGUGGAGUGAUUUGUCUGGUUAAUUCCGGUAACGAACGAGACCUUAACAUAUUAAAUAGCGACGCGCUUACCAGAACCGCGGUUCACAUAUUAGAGGGACUAUCCCAAUCAAAGCGAUGGAAGUUCGAGGCCAUAUCAGGUAUGUGAUGACAUUAGAUGUUCCGCACCACACGCGCGCUACACUAUCCGAGGCAGCGAUUUUCUUCCCUUCAACGAAAGGUUCGGGUAAUCUAGGCAAACUCGGACGUGCAGGGGAUAGACCCUUGUAAGUUUUGGUCCGGAGCGAGGAAAUCAUACUAAACACGACUCAUCAACUCGUGCUGAUUACGUCCCUUCCCUCACUACACACCUCCCGUCGCUAGUACCGAUGGAAUGGUGUAGUGUGAUGUCGGGAUUGGCGAGCUCCGGUUCUCCCUGUGCACGGGGCCCGGCGCACACGAAAACCAGACUCAAACCAGAUCAAUUAGAAGUGAAGUAUAAAGUCAUAACAGGUAACACGUAAGAGGUGAAUC